AAAUCAGAGCCAGACGUGAGCCAGAUCCCAGCCAGACUCAUUCAAGCCUAAGCCCCUAUCAGGCUGGCACCACACGCCCUUCUCGCUGUCUGACCCAUAUUUCACCGCUGCUUCCUGGAAGGCAGGACACAAACGGACAUGAAUAGGUAUGACUCCAUACGAAUGGUCAAAUCCACUGAAUCAUGUCACCUGACCGUGGCGUAUUUUUACAUGCCGCAGAGUGGUGGCGGGCCUUUUUUCGGAAUCGGAAUAGCUCUGGAACAACACGGCCGACUCAUCGCCCUGGGGGAAUCUGAGCUGACGCCGGCAUGACUGAAAUUCCCCUGGCACCGCUGCUGACGCUUCCGCCGCCGCCGAGCUCCGCGCCGCGCCGAGAUACGAGAGGAUUAGCCGCCGUGCUUGCCACAGCAUUAUUUAUAGUCCUGCCGGAGUAAUACAGCACAGCGGGGGACACAGUGCAUCGGUGGGGUGGCCGAUGCACCAGAAUGCACCCUCUCCAUCAUUCAGGUUUGGUGCAGUCUCUCUCAGUGUGUGUGUAUGUGUGUGUGUGUGUGUGUGUGUGUGUGUGUGCAUGCCCUUUACAUUACUGAGACAACAGGAUGAGUUGCACUCCACGGGAUGUCAGUGACAACCGCAAAAGCAUCCCUCCUCAUGGCUUCCCAUGAGUGGGACAGUGGGGCAGACUCCAGCGUUCCCUCCCUACCCAGGCAACUGCACCACUGUAACUUUCUCUCUUCUCUCUCUCCCUUUUCUUCCUGGAGGUUUUGUGUGGGCUCGGCUCUGUUCUCUUCAGCCUUUCACACCUCACAGAUUUCAUUUUUCACCGAUGGCACCGAGGUUGCCUAGGAACCAUGCGGAUCGGGCGUGUUUCAGGAGUUUCAGGGGGUAAUUAGGAGAUGAUGAGGAGACGCACUUUAAGCAAGGCAGCCAAUGUGUGUGUACUUUAAGGUGGGGAUCACACUGGUCAGCGGCAAGCGUAACGCCACGCUCAGACCACAAUAAGCUCGCUGGCGCACCUGGAAGCCGAUGCCACAGCUGGUGCUGCAGGGUGCCCAGGCCGUCCACGGCGUCCAGCCGCCGUUUCUACGAAAACAGCAAUCAGCGUCGUCAAGGGCCCGGCUCACAGAGGGUCACCCACACUCAUACUCACCACUGCUGGUAUUAGCCCCUUCUCCCUGGCAGCCUGACUGUGGACAGCUCCUGAGACUCAGCGCACAUGGGACAUUAAGCACAAUAUCAACACAAACAUCCUCCUGGGUGGGGCUCUAUAGGCAGUGCAGAGAGCGCUUUGCUCUGCACAAUAAGGUAAUAUAUCUCUCUCCCUGCUCAUGCAAAUAAGCUAAUGACGUGUGGAGGGGCAGAAUGGGGAGAGAGGGAGUGAUGGAAAGGCAAUAAGGAAGAGGGGGAGGAAAAAAAGAAGAGAGAGAGAGAGAGAGAGAGAGAGAGAGAGAGAGAGAGAGAGAGAGAGAGAGAGAGAGAGACAGAACCAGAGCCAGAAUGAGAAGAAGGAGGGGAAAUAGUGUGAGAGACAGAUGAAUGGAGAAAAACAAAGAUUAACAGAGGUAGAGAAAGAUUAACAGAGUUAGAGAAGCAGAAAGAUAGGGGGAGCCAUGGAAGAGAGGGUAGGAGAGAGACUGAUGGCUAGCCAAAGACAGCGAGAGAAGGAUUCAUGCUAUAGACGGUGCAGCGGCUCCCUGGAGAGCGAUCAGAGGUGAUCUUCACUGAGUCUGAGCCCCAGCGGCCCUGGAGCCAUGUCUCCGAGACGUCUCGCAGGGACUCCUCCAGGACAGUUCUAAAGAGCCCUGAUGGCUGCAGUCAGCCUGUUAAGACUGGCACUGAUGUAAUCAUGGUUGCAGCGCAUGAGUGGGAUCUUGAUGACCUGGUCCCUGACCCCGACGAAGAGCUCGCUGCGGCUGUGCAGGAUCAGGAGGCUGCGGA
Long non-coding RNA from Alosa sapidissima (American shad), 1938 nucleotides. RefSeq lists it as uncharacterized. The transcript is spliced from 6 exons. The record is from RefSeq and is a predicted model, not a curated record. Lineage: Eukaryota; Metazoa; Chordata; Actinopteri; Clupeiformes; Clupeidae.